Molecule: ribosomal RNA, 496 nt
Filed under: uncultured bacterium
Lineage: Bacteria
Description: partial 16S ribosomal RNA
Rfam family: Bacterial small subunit ribosomal RNA
Source: RNAcentral
AUGAACGCUGGCGGCGUGCCUAAUACAUGCAAGUCGAGCGAACGGACGAGAAGCUUGCUUCUCUGAUGUUAACGGCGGACGGGUGAGUAACACGUGGAUAACCUACCUAUAAGACUGGGAUAACUUCGGGAAACCGUAGCUAAUACCGGAUAAUAUUUUGAACCGCAUGGUUCAAAAGUGAAAGACGGUCUUGCUGUCACUUAUAGAUGGAUCCGCGCUGCAUUAGCUAGUUGGUAAGGUAACGGCUUACCAAGGCAACGAUGCAUAGCCGACCUGAGAGGGUGAUCGGCCACACUGGAACUGAGACACGGUCCAGACUCCUACGGGAGGCAGCAGUAGGGAAUCUUCCGCAAUGGGCGAAAGCCUGACGGAGCAACGCCGCGUGAGUGAUGAAGGUCUUCGGAUCGUAAAACUCUGUUAUUAGGGAAGAACAUAUGUGUAAGUAACUGUGCACAUCUUGACGGUACCUAAUCAGAAAGCCACGGCUAACUACGUG